Non-coding RNA from Bemisia tabaci, 1187 nucleotides. The record is from RefSeq and is a predicted model, not a curated record. NCBI's taxonomy places the organism in Eukaryota, Metazoa, Arthropoda, Insecta, Hemiptera, Aleyrodidae.
UUAUACGAUUGUGUCAAAGGAAUAUCAAUCAUUGACGGGGUGUGUUUCUAAGUAAAGUUUUAUGCUCGAUAAACAUUAACAUGUUCCUCAGUGAGUUUUCAUUCAAUGUUGGAUCGAUCUGUGUCGUUGCAUUAUUAGUUCAUGUGCGUAUUCUUGGAAGCAAUAUAAGUAUAAUGAUAAGCAGAAUGUUGAUAAGCGGAAAGGCAGUUGGAAGGGGCAACGAUGAUUACAAGGCAGAGGAAGAACAUAUUCCUUUAAAUUGUCGGCUGAAUGUGAAGAAAAGUACUGUAUCUAUGAGGGGACUGCAAUGCAGGUUUGCAGACACAAGUCUUCGGCGGCGAAGCGACUCCCGAAAUCAGCUGAGACAUUUGCUGACAGAUCCUGAAAAUAUGACACACGACAAGAGAGAGGAAGAAGGAGAAGAAAGUCAUACCGAGAUGUGCUAUGGGAAUGAGAAGGAGGAGAAUAACAAGUUGGACGAAAAUUCUCCUACGUUAGAUCCAAAUUUGGUGCCCCCUUCAGUACCGGAAAUGAAGAUUAAGACUAAUAAUUCCAUUCUGGUCUCAUGGCGUGCUCCGGUGCGGAAAAAAUAUCCGAUUGAUUACUUCCUUGUAGAAUUUUACCGAUACAAAGGCCGGGAGUUCUGUUCUAAGGGCUGUGCGUGCGUCAAUAAUGAGCCAAAAAGUAACUCGUCGAGCGAAUCUUAUCACGAGGAGCUGAUCGAUUGUCUUGAGCCAAAUUUUGACUACAAGAGUUAACAAGCACUGUUGCAUCGCUCGCGCCCCACCGACUUUGAUGCAGAAAUAUCAGUAAUCAUGCGGCUCUCAAUAAGCUUUUUUGCAUGACAUCUUUUGUGAACAUUCAGGUGAGAGUAAGCGCAAACCACAAAAUAAAGGUUCCGAGUUGCGGCCUCCUACCCCAAGCAUAAUCACUCUUGGGGCUGGUGGAGCAAGAAAAUAAACCUACCCAAUGAUUCUGAAGGAGAGGACACUUUAAAUCAUGAAUGAAAUUUUUCCUGCUCAACGGAAAGACGACGACUUAAAAAUAUUACUAAUUUAAGAAUCUUGGUGUGUCUAGAGAGCACCGUUUUACUUUUGUGUGCGUAAUAAAAAAGACUGUGAUUUUUUAAAUUAUGAUUGAAAAUUGUACGUAAUUAAGUAAUAAAAUUGAGUGAUUUUAAGAAGCUA